GUGCAAUUGGAUGAGUGUUUCCAUGCCGACAGACGAGACACUAUUCCUUCCUUUCGUGGGGCAGCUGCACCAACUGUUCAACACUUUUGACAUCCGAAUGAAAACUGAGAGAGAAAAAAAGAACGAGACAACUUUCUAGAACGGAGCACAGCCCACCCACUUUCCCCAGCGUGAGUUUUUCGGUGCCUCCUCAAGUCCCGACAUUGGGAACAGCGAACCUUACCUUAAAAGGCUUGGCCCGAUCCGACACCCAAUACGGUCAACCAACUCACUGACGUCACCAGGCAAACUCUUUCAUGCCACAUUUCUUUAUCCUUUUUCUUUUCUGUUUCUCUAUUCUUUUACCUGAGAAAAUAUUCCCCCAAUGGAAGCUGCUUUGCGUCUUCAUUAAUGCUUGAAUCUUACUCAACUUCAUGGCCGCACCUUUAACUACCAGCAAUUUCGCACACGGGAGGGAGUAUACAGAUGGAUCAUUGGGAGGUCUUCAUGGUUGGAUGCGUCAUGAAAAGAAGAAAACGGGACACGUGCCUGCCCAGGUGGGCUUAAAAAUUGGCAAAAGAGCAAAAAGAAUCCCCCCUUCCCACUCGACCACGACCAAGACAGAAGAAAGAUGAACUUACAUCCAGGAGCCGGGGUGUCCUU
This is a long non-coding RNA of Daphnia magna, 642 nucleotides long. RefSeq lists it as uncharacterized. Lineage: Eukaryota; Metazoa; Arthropoda; Branchiopoda; Diplostraca; Daphniidae. The record is from RefSeq and is a predicted model, not a curated record. The transcript is spliced from 3 exons.